RNAcentral lists this ribosomal RNA (252 nucleotides) under uncultured bacterium. RNAcentral describes it as "partial 16S ribosomal RNA". It matches the Rfam family "Bacterial small subunit ribosomal RNA", at positions 524 to 776 of the family's 1533-position model. The record is from RNAcentral.
UACGGGGGGGCAAGCGUUGUUCGGAAUUACUGGGCGUAAAGGGCGCGUAGGCGGCUCGCUAAGUCGGAUGUGAAAACUCUGGGCUCAAACCAGAGACUGCAUUCGAAACUGACGAGCUCGAGUACUGGAGGGGAAAGCGGAAUUCCUGGUGUAGCGGUGAAAUGCGUAGAUAUCAGGAGGAACACCGGUGGCGAAGGCGGCUUUCUGGACAGUAACUGACGCUGAGGCGCGAAAGCUAGGGGAGCAAACAGG